This is a long non-coding RNA of Nilaparvata lugens (brown planthopper), 390 nucleotides long. RefSeq lists it as uncharacterized. NCBI's taxonomy places the organism in Eukaryota, Metazoa, Arthropoda, Insecta, Hemiptera, Delphacidae. The transcript has 2 exons. The record is from RefSeq and is a predicted model, not a curated record.
UUAUUAUUCUCCCCAGCAUAGAAUAAGAGCUUUUUGCUCAAAAAAGCGGGACAAAGUUUUCUGAGGUUUCAAAUUGUAUCAAUUUUUUGCUUUUAGAAGUUCAUCUGUUAUAAUUUGCGUUAGUAUCAUCUGAGCUAGGUACAUGAUUAUUUAUUCAAAAGGAAGUUUUUUGUAUCGUUUUGUCUAUUCAAUUGAGGUAAGGAAGAGUUCCCUCAUUGAAAUGUGUAUUUCAUUUGUUAGUGGGAGUAUUAUUAUCUGGACAUUGUGUGAACUUUUUUCAUUUCCCUGUUGGUCAUGUCGACUCAUUUUGUAAAGUGUUACUUUAAUUUCUGUAUAAUUUACUGAUUAAGUAUUUUUGUAUUUUGAAUACAUACUUGUUAGAACAUGGCA